AACCUAGCACACCUGCGGUGUGUACCUGCGGAGGGAUCAUUAAUGAAUAAACUUGGUCGAGCUGUUGCUGAUCCCUCGGGAUAUGUGCACGCUUGCCACCAAUUUUAACCACCUGUGCACUUUCUGUAGACUGGAAAACGAUGCUCGAGGCAACUCGGAUUGGGAACUGCUGCGCGAAAGCCGGCUGCUCCUGUGUUUUCUCAGUCUAUGUUUUUAUAUACUCCGAAUGUAUGUAUAAGA
RNAcentral lists this unclassified non-coding RNA (240 nucleotides) under soil metagenome. RNAcentral describes it as "partial contains 5.8S ribosomal RNA, internal transcribed spacer 2, and large subunit ribosomal RNA". The record is from RNAcentral.